GGUUGUACUAGCUGUGAAAGUCAGAGGCCACCAGGCAGCUAUCGUGAGACCAAAGGCAGUAGUCAGCUCAGGCAAGCCGGUUUCCUUAUUUAUGUCAAAUUCCUCAGUCUUGGGUCUCCUUAUCUUUUAAAUAAGGAGUUAGAAUAGAAUUUGAGGGCUGUUCACUCAGGCAUCCAUGGUGGCUGCAGCAUAAGGAGUGUGUGGUGUCAGGAUGGGAAGGGCAACAUGGAGACUGCAUGGCCAUUGACGUCUGAAAGUCUCUGGUUGCCAAAAAGAAUCUAUCUACAACAGCAUUCAUCCUGACAGCAGCCAACAGGCAGCCUAGACCUGGCAUGCCACAGCUCCUCUAGGCUCUGAACCCCUCUCAGCUGAGCCUGGUAGAUGCCAGCUGACCGGCUGCAGCCCCUGAGUAGAGGUUGGCUGUCCUAGCAAUAGAGUAGGGCGGGGGCACAGCAGACAUGGGACCAUCAUCUGGAUUCCUAGACGUGCAACUGCAAGUUUGGGAUGUGAUGGAGAACGAGCUGCACAAGUCUCUGGGCUCCUGUAAAAGAUUGGUUGCAGAAAUGUCCUCAGAGUUGUUGGGAGGAUUCAAUAGAAGAUGCAUGCAAAGCACCUGGCUGAAUGCCCAGAGCCCUGCAGACACUCAGGAAUGAGUAACCAUGCAGAUUUUCUACGCCUUUAGACCAGAUAUUCUAAGAAACUUCCUGCUAUAGAUUAACUAGAUCCUGAUUGUGUUUUUCAUUUCCAGGCUUAGAAGAAAUAAAGGAAAUAUCCCAGGAGCAAAAACAAAACACACACAUGCUCCUCUCAAGAGUCACUGGCAUCCCAGCUGAAAAGUCAGCUCUACACCUAUGGGACCUAUGGGCCUGUUUCUGAGCUCUGUUUUGUCUCUUUGGUCUGAGUGUCUAUCUGAGGCCAAUACCACAGUACCAAAUGCGAUUGCUUUAGAGGAAGUCUUGAAAUCAGAUGAGCCGACUAGGAUUCCUGGCACCAUCGUGAACGGCUCUGGUGGGCACAGGCAGCCCUCUGCUGCUUCUGAUCUUAGGCUGAAGGCUGUUGAAUUAUGAGAAAGCGUCAUUUGAAGAGAUGGAUGCCUGUGACCCCGCCAGGCUCUGCAGACCUGGAGGCGGCUCCAGAUCUGGGGUGUGCGGCGCAUUGUGUGUCCAACAGGGAGCAUAACUUUCGCAUCUCAGUCCUUCUCCAUUUCCUGAGGCUUCUUCAGGCUCUGGUGUGUGGUCCACCCUGGAGAAUGUCUCGCUCUCCUCUCGAGAGGAACGUGGCUGCGGCUCUGCGUGGACCGUUUGGCAGAGGCUCAUAUGCUGGAUCCACUGGUUGGUUCACGGGGUUCAUUCCUGUCUGUUGAUCUUCUACCUAGUGGCUCCAUCACUCAUUCAAGGUAGGACCAGUGAAGUCACCAACGUUCACUGUCAGAUUGUCUAUUUCUCCCUUUAGUUCUGUCGUUUUUUACGUUGUGUAUUUUGGGGCUCUGGUGUUAGGCGAUGUGUGUCCAUAUAUUUCUCCCUUUAAUUCUGUCCGUUUUUACUUUGCAUAUUUUGGGCUCUGGUGUUGGGUGAUAUGUGUCCAUAUUUGUUACGUCUUGGGAGAGAUUGACCUUUUUGUUUUUAUAAAAUGUCCUUUUGGUGUCUCAAACAACGACUUUUGGCUUAAAGUCUAUUUUGUCUGCAUUCAGCCACCCGAUGUCCCUUUUGAUUAUUGUUUACACGGUUCGUCUUUUUCCACCUUUCCCCGUUGGACUCUGACGCGUCUCUGCUGUGGGAAGCGCAUCGCCGCCCCGGCGUCUCUCUCCGCUGCGGGGAGCCCAUCGCGG
Molecule: long non-coding RNA, 1828 nt
Filed under: Homo sapiens (human)
Lineage: Eukaryota; Metazoa; Chordata; Mammalia; Primates; Hominidae
Description: HSALNT0309920
Source: RNAcentral